GCCCUGGUCGGAAACCAGGGCCGACCGUGAGGAG
Non-coding RNA from Olsenella sp. An290, 34 nucleotides. Lineage: Bacteria; Bacillati; Actinomycetota; Coriobacteriia; Coriobacteriales; Atopobiaceae. The record is from Rfam.